Molecule: long non-coding RNA, 253 nt
Filed under: Setaria viridis
Lineage: Eukaryota; Viridiplantae; Streptophyta; Magnoliopsida; Poales; Poaceae
Description: long non-coding RNA (SVIR_LNC011217)
Source: RNAcentral
GCCAAGCUUUUUUGCAUCACAUAAUGCACCUUCAAGUGUUCCUCGUAUCACAUCUUUGCCCUACUACGUCCUGAUGCCCGGUCAAAUCUCACUUUCUUUUUUUUUCUCAUUGGUAUCUAUUGAAUUCAUAGAAAAUCAAAUUUUUUCUGAUGCACGGUUGUCCAUGCAUGUCAACCUCGCAACAUGACGUCCAAUCUUUAGGAAAAUGAAAUUUGCUUAUCACUCUAGACCUUAAUGCUUUUGCCUACCAUGA